GAUGAACGCUGGCGGCACGCCUAACACAUGCAAGUCGAACGAGAAGCUACCUUCGGGUAGUGGACAGUGGCGGACGGGUGAGUAACACGUGGGAAUAUGCCUUUCGGUAGAGAACAACGCUUGGAAACGAGUGCUAAUACUCUAUACGCCCUCAGGGGGAAAGAUUUAUCGCCGAGAGAUUGGCCCGCGUUAAAUUAGCUAGUUGGUGAGGUAAUGGCUCACCAAGGCGACGAUCUAUAGCUGGUUUGAGAGGAUGAUCAGCCACACUGGGACUGAGACACGACCCAGACUCCUACGGGAGGCAGCAGUGAGGAAUAUUGGACAAUGGGGGAAACCCUGAUCCAGCGAUGCCGCGUGAGUGAAGAAGGCCUUAGGGUUGUAAAACUCUUUCAGGGGUGAAGAUAAUGACGGUAACCCCAGAAGAAGCUCCGGCUAACUCCGUGCCAGCAGCCGCGGUAAUACGGAGGGAGCUAGCGUUGUUCGGAAUUACUGGGCGUAAAGCGCGCGUAGGCGGCUUGGUAAGUAGAGGGUGAAAUCCCAGAGCUCAACUCUGGAACUGCCCCCUAAACUGCCGAGCUAGAAUCCCGGAGAGGUGAGUGG
Molecule: ribosomal RNA, 600 nt
Filed under: uncultured bacterium
Lineage: Bacteria
Description: bacterial SSU rRNA
Rfam family: Bacterial small subunit ribosomal RNA
Source: RNAcentral